ACAAACCAGCACGGCAUUUUACAGACAAAUAGGCAGUCACAGGAAACGCUGAUCCUUGACUGCAGGUGUCCGAGGCGCCUGGGCAGGGACAGGCAGGGCAGGCGCCCCGCAAUCCCAGCACCUUCUGUUCCCCUCCCAGGUCUGUGGGCUCGUCCGUGACGGCCCAGGAGACCUGCUUCUGUCCACCAGAGUCCGGAGGGUCUGAUGACCAUGGCAUGUGCCUGUGUCCCCACUGGUGAUGGGGCACCCUGGCGUACACGUGCAGGCAGAACGUGCUAUGUGCCAGGGCCUGGGAGUGUCAGCUGCCAUCGGCUCCCUCUGCUAUUCCAACAGAGGGAGCAUUUCCUAUACCCAUCAGCAGAACACACACGGUGUGAGCCUGUUUUAGAACACAGACGUGCUGACACGUGCGUGCCUGUGGCCGUGAAGGCAGCAGGGACGAGAUGGGGCUGGAAGCCGUGUGCACCCCGUGUGGCGAGCCCUGGCCGGAGCAGGGUGGGGCGCGAUAGACAGCAGAGCUCACGCUGUUGGGAGAAUAUAAAUGGGGAGCUGGCUGAGGGCACCUGCAGUGGCCUGGACUGAGCAGGCUCCGGGGGCCCUCCUCCCCUUCCAGGCUCCGUCGCCUGGAGAACACUUCAGAUCCUCCCUCUCCAGACUGCUGAGGCCAACAGGAGAAGGCAGGAGAUGGGCCUGGGGGAGGCAGGCAGCCACCCACUCAAGGUGCAGGGCCUAGAAGGAGGGUGAUGGAGCCAGCACGCUCCACUGGAGGAAGUCCUAGAACUCUCUGCAUCUGUCAGUGACCGUCCCUCCCACUGAAACGUGCAAUUUCUACUCAGAACUUAUAGAAAAGGUGGGGGCAGAAAGCGGAAACUCAGAGCUGACUUCAAGAGUCCGGCAAACCAGCACUCAGGAACCGUGCUGUGGAGGCCCACCAGGGGACACGUGGGCACAGCAGAAGGAUACCACCGCGGAUGAAGCUCUCCCUAGAAAAGAAAGUAUCCGUCAGGGAGGCCCCAGGUCCAACCCGGAUGCUUUCCUGGGCCAUGUCCAACGCUGACCCAGGACCCCGGCUCCAUUCUGCGAUCCCAUAUUUACAGAAAGAAGCCACGUUUAUCUGGGCCUGCGGUUGUCCGUCUGAGGAUCUGACCGUUGGCUUUUCGAAAGCUGAGGCUGGGCCGGAGUGUGUACUUGGGAGCUCAGAGGUGGAGAGGAGAAGGCUCUGAAUGUGGCCGAGCUGAGCCCAGCCGGGACAGGGAAGGACUGCGCCCUGGACACAGACAGAGGACAGCUCUUCUCAUCUUCUGAGGUUUCUGUACAUUUACCACGUGGGUAGAACUAGAGGAAAACCUUUUCCGACUCAGGGUACGAAUCCUUUUUUUGUGUGUGGUUGAUGAGAGACCCUGCUUUCCUCUGGAAUUUCACACACGGCCCCAAAUAUCCCUCAGAUACGCAUUUCCUGAAGCGGCAACCCAAGUUCUCGCACUGUUGUGGCUCCUGGGCCUUCUCCCACCCGCGGCAGCCACAGGUCUCCCUCCUCCUAGGCUGACAGCCUCUCUCCCCGUGAAGUGGUCUUGGCAUCACAGGUGUUGAGUGUCUCUAAUCCUCCCAUCGAAGGUGUCCUGGGGCAGAUUUCCUGUGUGAAGAGGCUCACACCAGUGGCACGUCUGUGACACGCAGAAACAUCAGCAAUGACUGAAAAUUUGCCAAAUGGACCCUCUGGGAGGCCUGAGCUAUACUGCCGGCGGCAAGUGGACCAGCGAUGGGAACCAGCCCGGCCGGUCUUCUCUCCAGCCCCGGUGAUCUGGCUCUAGCUAAACUCCGCCACCUAGAUACUUGUCGGUAUCGGGUGGAUUUCAUGUGAACUGGGGGUUUCCUCCCUUUUGAUUCUUCUCUUGAAGGCCGACUUCAGACACUUCAGAUCUACUUGCUGGCCGGCCACUGUGAUGGAUCAGAACCGUGGCAGCUCAGGAGCAAAGGCUGCACAAAAACCUUACGUGACACAGGAUUUUACAUAAUUAACGUUAAAGGCAGCUGUAAUCAGAUUGGCGGCUCUAAGGGUUUCAGACCCAUAACGGCUCAUUGUGACUAAAUACAGCAGUGGUUUUCAGGACCUAACAUUUUUUUGGUAAAUGAUUUACUGUAGUGACAGUGUGUCUCUGAACAGGGGUGUCAGGAGUACACGUGGAGGUGCGGAGAACGAACGUGUCCCCGAGGUGACAGACAAGGUGUGCACAGGGAUCCUGCCCCGGCGUAAACCUAGUUUCUCACCAAAUG
Molecule: long non-coding RNA, 2274 nt
Organism: Acinonyx jubatus (cheetah)
Lineage: Eukaryota; Metazoa; Chordata; Mammalia; Carnivora; Felidae
Exons: 3
Source: RefSeq, a predicted model, not a curated record